Numida meleagris (helmeted guineafowl) is the source of this 6142-nucleotide RNA transcript. It is a transcript of the gene named KIT ligand, with no coding region annotated. Lineage: Eukaryota; Metazoa; Chordata; Aves; Galliformes; Numididae. The record is from RefSeq and is a predicted model, not a curated record. The transcript has 9 exons.
GCGUGUCUUGCCGGGGCUGUUGCCGCCGCCGCCGCUGCCGCUGCCGCCGCUGCCAGAGGCAGAUCCGAGAUAUAAAAGACCUGGCCGGGCACCGGCCGCCGCUCCAGUCCGUGUCGUGGCGAGAGGCCCGCAGCUGAGCGGCAGCAGCGCGGGGCUGGCCGAGGGCAACCCCAAUGCGUGGACUAUCCGGCGCUGCAGCAUGCUGGAGCUACAGUUCAGCUGAAGGGAGUUUGCACACGGCCGGCUGGGCUGGACUGCAGCGCUGCCGUUCCUUAUGAAGAAGGCACAAACUUGGAUUAUCACUUGCUUUUGUCUUCAGCUACUCCUCCUUAAUCCUCUUGUCAAAGCCCAGAGUUCCUGCGGGAAUCCGGUGACAGAUGAUGUAAAUGACAUUGCAAAAUUGGUUGGAAAUCUCCCAAAUGAUUAUCUGAUAACCCUUAAAUAUGUCCCGAAGAUGGAUAGCCUGCCUAAUCACUGUUGGUUGCAUUUGAUGGUGCCUGAAUUUUCGAGGAGUCUACAUAAUCUUCUCCAGAAAUUUUCAGAUAUUUCCGAAAUGUCUGAUGUUUUAAGCAACUAUUCAAUCAUUAAUAACCUCACAAGGAUAAUCAAUGAUCUUAUGGCAUGUCUAGCUUUUGAUAAAAAUAAGGAUUUUAUAAAAGAAAACGGUCACCUUUAUGAAGAAGAUCACUUCAUUCCUGAGAAUUUUUUUAGUCUCUUUAAUAGUACCAUUGAGGUCUACAAGGAGUUUGCAGACUCACUGGAUAAGAAUGACUGCAUUAUGCCUUCAACUGUAGAAACACCAGAGAAUGAUUCCAGAGUCGCUGUCACAAAAACAAUUUCGUUUCCUCCUGUUGCUGCCAGCUCCCUUAGGAAUGACAGCAUUGGCAGUAACACUAGCAGUAACAAAGAGGCACUUGGCUUCAUUAGCAGCUCCAGCCUGCAAGGGAUCAGCAUAGCAUUGACAUCAUUGCUGUCUCUUCUUAUUGGCUUUACUUUGGGAGCCAUAUACUGGAAGAAAACACAUCCUAAAUCCAGACCAGAAAGUAAUGAAACUACACAGUGUCAUGGCUGUCAAGAGGAAAAUGAGAUAAGGUAUAAAGUUCCAUUUCACACAUAUAUAUAUAGAAAUGUAAGAUUAUCUUUGAGAGAUUCUUUCUGAAAGUUCCUCUCUAGCUCUCAAAAAUAUAAAGCAAAUGAACAAACAAACAAAAUUGUCAGACUUUAAGCUUUUUUAAGGUUUUUUAAGGUUUUUAGGGUUUAAACCUUUUACACCUAACACAUUCUUCAAACAUUUUUUCAUCACAUACAGUUCAUAUAAAAGAAAACUGCAUAUUUACCAAGCAUAUGAUUUGUAAAGAAUAACUCAUCCAGCACCUCAUCCUUGCAGGUGUUAAAACUUGCAAAACCAAACAUGAAUCUUCCUUCUGACUUCACAGGUAGUAUGAAAAAUGACUUUAUAGGAAGAAAAGAGGGUAGAGGAAAUAGAACAAUUGGGUAGAUGCAGGAGAGGACCCGAAUAAGAAAAUGUAAAGAGGUUACAUAUUCAGUGUGCAGUUUUAUUAAAUAUAUGGCAUAAAUUGUUUUUUUUUUCUCCCUUCUCCUUGAGAAAUUUUGAAAAUCUAUCAACCUGUAGGAAGAAUCUAUUAGCAAACAUAAGUUUUAAUGCUUCUGGUUCAAUUACAAAUGUUUCUUUUGUUACAUGUAGGUGCUUUUAUGUUAACUGAUAAAGCCUUCCAUUCUUGUUCCUUGAAACUCUAGUAACAGUACCUACAGUACUAGCACUGUAGUAAUGAAGUACCUAUUUUUUAUUUCAGUAUGUUGCAGCAAAAAGAGAAAGAACAUCUACAAGUGUAGCUGUUGCUUUUUCUCCCUCAACACUGUUACUGUUUCAGGUAAUGGCAGGUAACAGUUCCAUGUUUGCUUCAUAAAUGAAGCAGCUUUAAGCACAUUCAUAUUCCUUCUGGAGUGACAGACUGAGUCUGCAUCUGUUGUUGCUGCCCAUGACUCCAUAGACGUGACAUAGAAAUGAGGACAAUUUGUGUUUCUUACUGUAAAACCAACACUGAAUUGAACAACAAGAAGAAGAGUGUGCACUUAACAGGACUAUAUCUUAUGUGAAUAUCUACUUUGUGUGGCAUUUGGGGUUUUUAAUUGCAUUAGUACUUGUGUCUGACUGACAAACAAAGUACAUGUCUGGAACAAAAAACAUCUUUCAAAUGCCUCCAACUAUAUGGAAUAAUUGAAAAUCAUAAAUACCUUUGCAUCCUUAAUUUAAGUUCUGUGUCCUCUACCUUGCCUUGGUGUCUUCAAAUGGAGUUCUUUGAACUGAGAGAAAAUGCAGAAAUGGAUACAGAUAACAUACUCUUCAAUAUUGUAUAUAAAACUUGAAAGUAAAGUCGUGACAUGGACCAGUUUACUAGCCUUUUACUUAUAAGGAACUAGGUUUAUUCCUGGCAAAAGUCAUGUGUACAGUGACACGUGGCCUCUGCUGGAUGCCAAGUGGCUACAUGCCCACCACAGAAAGCCUCAAGAAUUCAUCAGCUUUGGUGGUGUCUGCUCAGGAGAAGCAAAUACUGGAUGAAGACAAAGUAAACAGGACGUUGCAGUACAUCAUAGAGCUUUGAAGCAUUAGGAGUAACUGCUGGAGAUGUGUACACUGGUGCAAUUUCCAGCCAUGCCAAGAGAAGGGAGAGUAAAGAGUCUGAAUUGCGUUCAAACAUCAUAAUAAAGACAAACCCAUAAAAUGCAUUUUAAAUGCUGAAGAUGCAUGCCAUUGAUACCUUGUUUUCAAAUGUAUAGCAUAGAAAAUCUGAAAGAUCCUGAGAGUGUAUUUAGCUUUUACUUACAUCAGCUGUAAUUAAUAUUUGCAUUGUGUUUUAAAUGAUUAGAAAGCUUUACUAUCCUGACAUUCUCCACUCCUAAAGUUAAUUCUCUUGAAACAAAAGAGAAAGGCUUUAAUUUCCACUUGUCUUCUACAACUACUGCUGCUGUAGCAUCCAUGAAAUCUUGUACAGGUUUGAUGUACAGGCAUUUUCAAGAAAAUCCCAAAAAUACUGUGAUAAAAGUUACAAGUACAGUUGUGCAUCUUUUCAUCCUGACUCUUUCCAGACAAUGGUUAUGAAUCAUUUAUCUGUAUUAGAGUUUUCUAUUUUAGAACGUAAAGGUGGUUCACUUUAGAUGACAAACGGCCAUCUGUCAUCAAACUGGCUAUGUCAGUAAGAAUUUUCAUUUGAGUUACUUGAAAAUAUUAAAAAAAUACAUAAAACAAUGAACACCUUACUAAUGUUUUCCAGAAAGUUGGAGUUCUCUUUAAAGUAUAGUCUAACUUAAUUGUAGAAUCAUAAAAUAUCCUGAGUUGGAAAGGACCCCUGAGGAUCAUCAAGUCCUGACUCCACACAGGGCAACUUAAGAGGUAAACAAUAUAUCUAAUACCAUUGUCCAAGAUCUACUGGUACACUUGACAGGCUUAAUUUUUAAAGAAUUUUUGUGGAAUUUUUAAUCAUCUGAUAAAUUUUCUGAGAGCCAUGCAUAGAAAGAAUAUGACAUAUGUAUUAUAUAAUGUGUGUGUGUGUGUGUGUGUGUGUGUGUGUGUGCGUGUGCGCGCGCGUGUAUUAUUGGUAAAAUUGAUUUGGCUUUCAUACUCACUGAGAAGAAGAAACCUCAGGACUUUACUGUGAUGACAGAGCUUAUAUGUGCAUUUAGCUACUUUGCUUGGAAUUUUGACACUACUGAGGUCAAUGGUGAAACUUUUCUUGAAUUCACUGAUACCAGGAUUUGACCACAUAGAUCUAGUUUUUUCUUUUCCUAUAGUAAGGCUUGCCUGAGUGUCAGAAAAUAAUAUUCGACCCUCCCCAGGUGUCAGAAAAGUGUUCUCCAAUCUCAUUCAGUUGGUAUAAGUUAGCACAGUUCCAUUAAUGUUAACAGAGCUUUGAGGUUUUUAUCAUCCAAGGAACUUAGCUUAAACUAGAUAAAAAGAAGCCUGGUGAGAUAAUCAGGCCUUCAUUUUUAUUCAGAAGAUGCAGGACCACUCACCAUUUAAUGAGAAAUAAUCAAGGUUACUCAUCACUUCUACAAAUGAGGCUCAUUGCAAAUUUUAGAUCUGCAAAAAUUUGCUGGUAUAUAGUUCUUUACUCACUAGGCCUGCAAACUAAUUAAGAGUUACCCUGAAAGAAAUGUCAGCAUGACCUAACUAAUAGGAAAUUUGCACCUUAUUGGUAAUGUGAAGAAUAACUGUAUGUACGUUUUGACAGAGCUGAAAAGUAUCAACCAACAAUAAGUAGAAGCCGCUAUCUUUACAUAUUUUACAAAAAAAGUAUUUCACAUUGCUACUUUGUGUGUUCUCAAAGUGAGUUUAUAUAUUCUAAGUUUUACAGUAUUUUUCAAAGAUACAUUUAAACAAAUAUUUGUAUUUAUUAACAUUCUUUGUUCAUAAGAAUAUUAGUUUUCCUAUAUGCAUAUUUUCCAGAAAAUCAAAUACACAAUAACAUUGCACACUGGUGUGCCUUCAAUUAUACUUCAAAACACAUGGUGUUUUAGAGUCCUUAGUAUACCGUCUACCCAUACAAUAGUAAAAGAUAAAAUGACAGGUUUAAAUGGAAACUUACACUAAACGGAGAUAGAUGGCGACAAAAUAUUCAUGUUCCAAGAGUAAAAUUUUAAAAUAGUAGAUAUGUCACCUUCAUAUGUCACAUACUUUAAUCUCUGCUAUGGAGUAAAGCAAACUGAAGGCUACAUGCAAACUGAAAGAGAGUUCAUGUAUAUAAUUUCCAACCUGACAUCACAAUCUGUUCAGAUUUUGAAUAUGCACCGAACAUAGUACAACAGAGAGUAGUAGAACUGCUGUUAGAGCCCAUGAUUUCCCUGUUCUCCCUAUCUGUUUUUGAGAGAUUUAAACAAAAUAUUAGGUGGUCUCAGUCAUUUUGCAAGGCAGAAGGACAUUUCUGGACAUUUAUGAAUAUGAAUAUGAAUGGAUGGCAAGUGGAUGGCAGGGCACUUGAAAAUGUGAUCAUGAAAUUAUUUCAAGGUUUCUGUGCCCAAUUUGUCUAUCCACCAAGGAGGCCCUUAUUUUACAUGUAUUGAAAUUUCAAAAAACUACUGAUUUGUGAGAUAUCUUUGAAACCAAUGAAAAUCAUAUAAGUUACUAUUCUGUGAAAGUAGUCGUGGCAGAAAUAGUCAAUUAAUUGCUUCUUUAUCCAGCUGUAGCCUAUCUGACUUCUGGAUAGUGAUCACUUCUUCAGUCUUUAUGGAUAAACUUUGCAUUAGGUCAGAAAUGAACACCCUUUCUCUUAAAAUGAAUUUGGGGGAAAAAGUGAGUGUUGCUUUUUCUUUUUUUUAAUAUGAAAGUCAACCAAGUUUGGGUUUCAGAUGUCUAUCAUUUUGUGAGGAACUAACGUUUUUAGGUUUCCUUUGGCGUAGUUGAACUUUGCAUGCAAUUAAUUGUGGCCUUGUGACAACAAAAAGCAGAUAGUGAUAUACUGAGUAACUCAAUGUGCUAUUUUAGAUAUGUGUUUACUUGAAUAAAUAAAUGGUACUUAUUUAAUCACAAGGUCAUUGUAUAAGUAAGCUUAUGAACAACUAAUGUGCUAUACUAUGGAGUAUAUGUACAACCUGCACAUUUUUUAGAUUCUAUCUUCACCAGCUCUGUUUUCUCUGUUGCUCUCUGUAAUACGCUGAAACUAUUCAGUACACACAGUACAAAUAUUAAAUUGAAAAGCUAACCAUAUAUAUGAAGUACAGGUAUUUUGAGUUAGAUUUACAUUUAAGAAUUAUCCAACAUUCUUCAAUUCAGGAAUCUGAUAUCUAUUGAAUGCAGAUGUACAGUGAUGGUGGCAUGUUGCUAUUAUGUUAUUGAAGUGAUAGAACGCGGUAACUUCAGACUCUUUAGUGAUAGAGACACAGACAUUUGCUGGUUGUAUCAUGGGCAAAUUCAUUUAUCUCAAUGUAAAUGUCAGCACAGUCUUGCAUAGCUACAUUCUGACUGGCAGUAAUAAAAUUUAUGUAAUGUGGUGUGUAUGUAUAUACGUGUCCUCUUAAAGAUAGACAUUUUCCCUGAUCCUUUUUUUAUACCAGUUCAAAUUUGAAAUUUACAUUAUAUACAUAUACUUUAUUGUUCUAAAUAAAGAUAUUAUGCACUGCCAAACAA